RNAcentral lists this ribosomal RNA (253 nucleotides) under uncultured bacterium. RNAcentral's name for it is "partial 16S ribosomal RNA". It matches the Rfam family "Bacterial small subunit ribosomal RNA", at positions 524 to 776 of the family's 1533-position model. The record is from RNAcentral.
UACGUAGGUGGCAAGCGUUGUCCGGAAUUAUUGGGCGUAAAGCGCGCGCAGGCGGUCCUUUAAGUCUGAUGUGAAAGCCCACGGCUCAACCGUGGAGGGUCAUUGGAAACUGGGGGACUUGAGUACAGAAGAGAAGAGUGGAAUUCCACGUGUAGCGGUGAAAUGCGUAGAGAUGUGGAGGAACACCAGUGGCGAAGGCGACUCUUUGGUCUGUAACUGACGCUGAGGCGCGAAAGCGUGGGGAGCGAACAGG